CCUGUGAUGAGUUAAGGUCUCUGUUGCUGAACGUCAUGACUGCGAACCCUGUACCGUCUGAU
This 62-nucleotide small nucleolar RNA is filed under the name Euglena gracilis. RNAcentral's name for it is "Eg-m121 box C/D methylation-guide". Lineage: Eukaryota; Euglenozoa; Euglenophyceae; Euglenales; Euglenaceae. The record is from RNAcentral.